This 507-nucleotide ribosomal RNA is filed under the name uncultured bacterium. Its description in RNAcentral is "bacterial SSU rRNA". It matches the Rfam family "Bacterial small subunit ribosomal RNA", at positions 791 to 1304 of the family's 1533-position model. The record is from RNAcentral.
UAGUCCACGCCGUAAACUAUGGAUACUCGUUGUUGGCGAUAUACUGUCAGUGACCAAGCGAAAGCGUUAAGUAUCCCACCUGGGAAGUACGACCGCAAGGUUGAAACUCAAAGGAAUUGACGGGGGCCCGCACAAGCGGUGGAGCAUGUGGUUUAAUUCGAUGAUACGCGAGGAACCUUACCAGGGCUUAAAUGUAGAUUGACAGGGCUAGAGAUAGCUUUUCCUUCGGGCAAUUUACAAGGUGCUGCAUGGUUGUCGUCAGCUCGUGCCGUGAGGUGUCAGGUUAAGUCCUAUAACGAGCGCAACCCCUGUUGUUAGUUGCCAGCGAGUAAUGUCGGGAACUCUAACAAGACUGCCGGUGCAAACCGUGAGGAAGGUGGGGAUGACGUCAAAUCAUCACGGCCCUUACGUCCUGGGCCACACACGUGCUACAAUGGUAGGGACAGAGAGCAGCCACUAUGUGAAUAGGAGCGAAUCUAUAAACCCUAUCUCAGUUCGGAUCGGAGU